This 998-nucleotide long non-coding RNA is filed under the name Mus spicilegus (steppe mouse). RNAcentral's name for it is "lncRNA (ENSMSIG00000030465.1)". Lineage: Eukaryota; Metazoa; Chordata; Mammalia; Rodentia; Muridae. The record is from RNAcentral.
CAGAGCUGCUCCCUGACAGCUAUGUGCACCUGUUUCCAUCACUACCUCUGAACACGCAGCCAUACCCCAUCUCAAGCAUGUUAUGUUCACACUAUAACAGGUGCAGGCCUAGCAUGGUCAACUCCACUCUGGAAAUGCAAUAAGUGAGUUUUAGGCAAUAAAGGACUCUGGGCUUCAGUGGGGCAGAAGCUUCCUAGAGCAGGGACUCAAGCCCCCUUCUCCAUAAACCAGCCCCUUUCCAUUCACAUUCUUCUGCAAACAUUCCCUCCUUUCAGAUCAGGCAACCACACUCACAGGCAGAAAUCCUGGAACUCUCUGCAGGCAGCUCCUCUAAAUCUGCUUCACGUUCAUAGACCAGAAACCAGUGGCCCUGACAGUGCAGCUGAGGAAGGAUGGAAAGCUACAGGACUCCCUCAAGGUUAAUGACACAUGGCAGACUAAGCACCUGGAAUGCAGGGGUGAGCAACGCAAUCAGUGACUGCUGUCCUCAAAGAGACAACCGAGGAAGCUCCCUAGGGUCUCCAAGCAAGCUUAUGCCACAUUCUCAUCUGAAGUCACAAUAGUCCUGGGGAGUCUGGAUUGGUGCCUGUCCUGUCCACAUGAGGAAGGAUGAGGCACAGAGACACAGAACCUCUUACUGCGAUGCUGGGUGGUAACCAAAUCAGAAAACCAGGACCCCUGACCCUGAGUGCAUCUCUGAGCAGAAGCAAGGACAAUCCCAGAUUCUUCCAUACAUGCAGAGGAAGAGAGCUAUGGGGUGAAAACAAAGCCGUGACUGCAAAGCCAAGCUGUAGCUCUCUGCACUGUGGCAGAGAAACGCAAUGCGUCUCCAGGGGAGAUACACGGGCCUGAGGUUUUAUCGAUCAUUUCUCAGAAAGGAGGCCAGUGCUACUGGAGAGGUAUUGAGGUAUUGAUGUAUGUUUCUCUCUCUCUCUCUCUCUCUCUCUCUCUCUCUCUCUCUCUCUCUCUCUCUCUCUCUCUGUGUGUGUGUGUGUGUG